This 22-nucleotide non-coding RNA is filed under the name Arabidopsis thaliana (thale cress). The record is from RNAcentral. Lineage: Eukaryota; Viridiplantae; Streptophyta; Magnoliopsida; Brassicales; Brassicaceae.
CCAUUCACGUCUAUAAGAUGCA